GAUGAACGCUAGCUACAGGCUUAACACAUGCAAGUCGAGAGGUAACGAGAGGAAAGCUUGCUUCCCUUGUCGACGACCGGCGCACGGGUGAGUAACGCGUAUCCAACCUGCCCCCAACUAGGGAAUAACCUUGCGAAAGUAAGACUAAUACCCUAUAAUUUCCUCAGAUGACAUCUGACGAGGAAUAAAGAUUUAUCGGUUGUGGAUGGGGAUGCGUCUGAUUAGCUUGUUGGCGGGGUAACGGCCCACCAAGGCAACGAUCAGUAGGGGUUCUGAGAGGCAGGUCCCCCACAUUGGAACUGAAACACGGUCCAAACUCCUACGGGAGGCAGCAGGGAGGAAUAUUGGUCAAUGGGCGGAAGCCUGAACCAGCCAAGUAGCGUGCAGGAUGACGGCCCUAUGGGUUGUAAACUGCUUUUAUACAGGAAUAAAGUUAGCCACGUGUGGUUAUUUGUAGGUACUGUAUGAAUAAGGACCGGCUAAUUCCGUGCCAGCCGCCGCCGCAG
Molecule: ribosomal RNA, 506 nt
Filed under: uncultured bacterium
Lineage: Bacteria
Description: partial 16S ribosomal RNA
Rfam family: Bacterial small subunit ribosomal RNA
Source: RNAcentral